GGGACCACAACCAACCACAACAUCGCCGACCCCGUCCUCCCGGUGCCGCCACGCCCGCCCUGCGCGUCUACCGCCGUGUGUUUGGAGCAGUGCCUGCGUGCCCCCGUCGAGGCCCUCGCCCACCACACCCACAGCCACAAUGGCGUGCAGCAUGCUGGAGCCGAUCGGCGUGGGGAUAGGCCUCCCUCUUUCCCGCCGCCGGGCGUCCCUGGCGUCCUUGGCGUCGCGACCAACCCCUUCCGUCGCCGAAAGGGUCAAGGAGUCCGCGAACCCGCCAGGUCCAGGCUCUGGUCCAGGCCCAGUCCGAGCGCGGCGCAUCACCGUCAAACGCCUCUUCUCGAUGCGCAACUUCGGUGCCCGCGUGCCGCUGCUGCUGGGCAACCCCGAGGAGGGCCCCCCCGCCAGGGCCACCGGCGG
RNAcentral lists this unclassified non-coding RNA (417 nucleotides) under Thrips palmi. Its description in RNAcentral is "vegetative cell wall protein gp1-like, transcript variant X1". The record is from RNAcentral. Lineage: Eukaryota; Metazoa; Arthropoda; Insecta; Thysanoptera; Thripidae.